Long non-coding RNA from Cotesia glomerata, 162 nucleotides. RefSeq lists it as uncharacterized. The transcript has 2 exons. The record is from RefSeq and is a predicted model, not a curated record. Lineage: Eukaryota; Metazoa; Arthropoda; Insecta; Hymenoptera; Braconidae.
AUUCUAUUUUCGAAAAUUUUACAUUCUUUUUAACUGUUAAUUAAAAGAGACUUAAUUUCAUGAUAAAUAAAAAAAAAAAAUUUUUUUUGAAGACUAUGAGAUUUUUUCUCAUGGCGAGAAGUAAAGAAGGUGAGCCGAAUAACGUGGGUACUGAAGGGUUAA